GAUGAAGAACGCAUCGAAAUGCGAUAAGUAAUGUGAAUUGCAGAAUUCAGUGAAUCAUCGAAUCUUUGAACGCACAUUGCGCCCCCUGGUAUUCCGGGGGGCAUGCCUGUCCGAGCGUCAUUACAACCCUCAAGCUCAGCUUGGUGUUGGGCCCCGCCGCCCCGGCGGGCCCUAAAGUCAGUGGCGGUGCCGUCCGGCUCCGAGCGUAGUAAUUCUUCUCGCUCUGGAGGUCCGGUCGUGUGCUCGCCAGCAACCCCCAAUUUUUUUCAGGUUGACCUCGGAUCAGGUAGGGAUACCCGCUGAACUUAAGCAUAUCAAUAAGCGGAGGA
RNAcentral lists this unclassified non-coding RNA (329 nucleotides) under soil metagenome. RNAcentral's name for it is "partial contains 5.8S ribosomal RNA, internal transcribed spacer 2, and large subunit ribosomal RNA". The stretch from base 1 to 120 matches the Rfam family "5.8S ribosomal RNA", at positions 35 to 154 of the family's 154-position model. The record is from RNAcentral.